GAUGAACGCUGGCGGCGUGCCUAAUACAUGCAAGUCGAGCGAACGGACGAGAAGCUUGCUUCUCUGAUGUUAGCGGCGGACGGGUGAGUAACACGUGGAUAACCUACCUAUAAGACUGGGAUAACUUCGGGAAACCGGAGCUAAUACCGGAUGAUAUUUUGAACCGCAUGGUUCAAAAGUGAAAGACGGUCUUGCUGUCACUUAUAGAUGGAUCCGCGCUGCAUUAGCUAGUUGGUAAGGUAACGGCUUACCAAGGCAACGAUGCAUAGCCGACCUGAGAGGCUGAUCGGCCACACUGGAGCUGAGCCACGGUCCAUGCUCCUACGGGAGGCAGCAGUAGGGAAUCUUCCGCAAUGGUCGAAAGCCUGACGCAGCAACGCCGCGUGUGUUAUGAAGGUCUUCCGAUCGUAAUGCUCUGUUAUUAGGGAUGAACAUAUUUGUAAGUUACUGUGCACAUCUUGACGGUACCUAAUCAGAAAGCCACGGCUAACUACGUG
Molecule: ribosomal RNA, 497 nt
Filed under: uncultured bacterium
Lineage: Bacteria
Description: partial 16S ribosomal RNA
Rfam family: Bacterial small subunit ribosomal RNA
Source: RNAcentral